AAAAAAUUAAACCUUGAUUUUCUGUGUCCAAUUUUAACGGUCCGUCUUAUAUAAAAUUUUUUUUAUAAUUUGUAUUUUCAUUGUUAUUAAGAUGAUAAAACAUGAUUAAUAUUUUAUGCGUGACCUGUCUUUUUAUUUUUUUCAUAAUUUUUUCAAAUAAGACGGACGGUCAAACGUUGGGCACGGAAACCAGGGUUUGUCUUUUU
Molecule: non-coding RNA, 206 nt
Organism: Oryza nivara
Lineage: Eukaryota; Viridiplantae; Streptophyta; Magnoliopsida; Poales; Poaceae
Source: Rfam